Non-coding RNA from Sus scrofa (pig), 1601 nucleotides. NCBI's taxonomy places the organism in Eukaryota, Metazoa, Chordata, Mammalia, Artiodactyla, Suidae. The record is from RefSeq and is a predicted model, not a curated record.
AGUGGAUACUAUGUGUAUAUAUUGUGCUAAAUAGAUUCUAUUACUAAAAUUAAUUCACUUAUACUUUUUUGCCUUUUUUAAUACGGUGACUAGAAAUGUUUAUAAAUUACACAUGGGUUUCAAAUUCAUAUUUCUCUUGGGGGAACUGCUCUAAACACAGCAUGGUGCCGAAUCUUUAGCACAACCCAAGUGGGGUGGUGCGAUUCUCAUUUCCAUUUCUUAACCUCUCAAGCUUUGAGAGGUUAAGAAACUGGCCCAAAGACACACAACCAGUAAGAAGAGAAAACCAAAACCAAGGGAGUGCAAGAGUGGCAGCAGAGAGACCUGUAAGGAGAAAAUGCAUGAGGGAGUGAGCUGUCUUGUUAUGGAAGCAGAGGGCCACAACCUCAAGGUCCCCUAAUGAUGCCGUCUGAGGAACUGGGGCAUCACAUUCAUCCACCAAAUCCUUUUAGGGGAGGCACUUUGUGGGGAUGCCCCCCCCAGGAGAGGAGGUAUCUGGGCUAAUUUGACUACUGUUUUGGAGGAACGCAGGUGAACCCAGAGGUAGUUUCCACUACGCAAAAUGUUUUUUCCACUUCCUGUUCUUUGCUAUUUUGCUUUCUUCCGGUGUUAAACCACAGAGUUUCAGAAUCAGAUGAAACUUAGCGUGAAGGCCGGCCACAUGGUCUCCAGCCCCCAGAACCUGGUGACUCAACUAGAUUUCAUGAGGCCAAUCAAAGGACAGGCUUUUGCAAUGACAGGACUCCCUGUCCUGAAUGAGGCUCUGAGAGUAAGUUUGGAUUUCUUGAGAAUUUUCUUCUGAAGGCUGACCUGACGGAUAUUGCAUUUCUUCUGGGAAAGGGUCAGAGGAUUUUCGCUUCAGCCCCUGCAACUCCCUGGAAUGACUCGGGGGGUUUCUUUCACCAACAUCUGGCCUCACAAUCAUCACUGUGAGGAAGGAAGGAAACGCAGCAGAGUUGCUGGACCUGGGAGAGCCCCUUCAACGACAGCAGAUCACACUCUUGGAACCGGAAGUGUGGGCGUGUGUUAUGUUGCUGCGCAACCAAAGGCAACGAAGCAGCAAACCUCAGAAGGCAGAGCCCACUACCGAGGGGGAGUUUCGAGCAUGUCGGGUCCCCCAGAGGCUGGGCCUAGCUCAAUCAAGGGAAAAGUCAGCAUCCAAAAGUCCUUAAUGACGCAGAGGAAGCCAGGGGAAAAAGUCACUGGCAAGUCAUCACUGACUCACAGAACGUCUGAGAAGAAAUGAGCUGCGACCCGCAGCCACGCGAACCCCUCGCUUUCCCGAUAAAAAGGAACCGGAAGCCGGAAAGUAAUGGAUCGGGGCCCUACUGCCAGGUCAGAGCCAGAACCACCGCCCUCCCGGCCUCCGCUUCGUUCUGCAUUAACAGUUUGCAAACUCUCUGUCACGUGCUUUAGUUUCAUCUGAUCCUGAACUGAGAGCAAAUAUUUGUCUUUCAAGGGAGAGGCCAAAGGAGGACUGCUUCCUUUCCUCCUCGGAGAGGAGAAGAAUACUUUUCUAAUGCAAGUCUUAUUAGGAUUAAACGAGUUAAUCGUUUUUGGGGAUUCAAGAGAAUAUAAUAAAGGCCAUCCCUCCUCUCUUA